Eutrema salsugineum is the source of this 894-nucleotide long non-coding RNA. RefSeq lists it as uncharacterized. The transcript has 2 exons. Lineage: Eukaryota; Viridiplantae; Streptophyta; Magnoliopsida; Brassicales; Brassicaceae. The record is from RefSeq and is a predicted model, not a curated record.
UUCUUUCCGAUCCAAUUUAAUUUCUCUCAUAAACCAGAAUCCACUUAUAAAAAUCCCUCUCUAUUAAUUUUUCUGUAAAAUAAACCCAAACUCUUUAUUUUUUUUUUCUCCAUUCCGACCCCCUCUCUUUUUUUUCUCCUUCUUCAUGUCGCAAGCUUCUUCUCCUCUCCUCCUUCUCGCCAUGCCACACCUCUUCCUCUCUCCCUCACUGCGAUUUCUCCUUCCCUCUUCUCUCCCUCGCCGUGACUUCUCCUUCCCUCUCCUCUUCCUCGCGCCACGGCCCCUUCUCUUCCUUUCCUCUCUUCCUUGGCCGAUGCUUCUCCUCCACCUUGGUGUCUCACUCGGUGUCUCCUCUUCCUCGUGCCGCCGCAUCACUGCUUCACCUCGCUGCUCGUGCUGCCAUGAAGCUCUACCACCGCUAAAGCUUCUUCCUUGCCGACCUUCAUCCACGGCGAGCUUCCUCCACCGCGCCGCCACCACUCCUCUCCUCCUCCAAUGAAGAGUUCCAUGCUCUACUGCACCGCUUUCCUUCUGCUCCUCCUCCGCAAGAGCAAAGGUUAGCUUGGAUUGUUUCAUCUAAUGUUGUUGUUACACAGGCGUUUUUGUUCCUGGUAUACAUGAUUCUCACCAUGGACCAGACCUGAUGGUUAACCAAAUGAGGCUAGACCAUCAACUUAACACGCCCGAUUCCUCGGUUUUUUAGUAAGUUCGGGAUAGGGAUGUUACAGAGUCGCUUUUUUUUUUAAACCCGAAAAUUCGUAUUAUGUAAUAUGGAGAAUGUGGUUGCAGAAAGAUAAAUGAAUCAGGUAUAAAAGAGAUAUCUUUUCCUGGUCUUGCUAAUUCAUGACAUGUGAUGUGAAAAAUACGAUAUGAGAGAGAUGAAUGAUUCUGCAA